This 495-nucleotide ribosomal RNA is filed under the name uncultured soil bacterium. RNAcentral describes it as "bacterial SSU rRNA". It matches the Rfam family "Bacterial small subunit ribosomal RNA", at positions 26 to 513 of the family's 1533-position model. The record is from RNAcentral.
AGAGUGAACGCUGGCGGCAGGCCUAACACAUGCAAGUCGAACGGCAGCACAGCAGUAGCAAUACUGUGGGUGGCGAGUGGCGGACGGGUGAGGAAUACAUCGGGAUCUACCUUUUCGUGGGGGAUAACGUAGGGAAACUUACGCUAAUACCGCAUACGCCCUACGGGGGAAAGCGGCGGACCGCAAGGCGUCGCGCGAUGAGAUGAACCGAUGUCCGAUUAGCUAGUUGGCGGGUAAAGGCCCACCAAGGCGACGAUCGGUAGCUGAUCUGAGAGGAUGAUCAGCCACACUGGAACUGAGACACGGUCCAGACUCCUACGGGAGGCAGCAGUGGGGAAUAUUGGACAAUGGGCGCAAGCCUGAUCCAGCCAUGCCGCGUGGUGAAGAAGGCCUUCGGUUGUAAAGUCCUUUGUACCGGAAAGAAAGACAACGGAUUAACUACCUCGUGUGAGUGACGGUACGGAAGAAUAAGCACCGGCUAACUUCGUGCCAGCA